UGAUCGGCCACAUUGGGACUGAGAUACGGCCCAGACUCCUACGGGAGGCAGCAGUAGGGAAUUUUGCGCAAUGGACGAAAGUCUGACGCAGCAACUCCGCGUGAGGGAUGAAUGCCUUCGGGUUGUAAACCUCUGUUGAGUGGGAAGAGAAAUUUUUGUGCUAAUACCACAAAGACUUGACGGUACCAUUCGAGGAAGCUCCGGCUAACUACGUGCCAGCAGCCGCGGUAAUACGUAGGGAGCUAGCGUUGUUCGGAAUUACUGGGCGUAAAGGGAGCGCAGGCGGGAAAGUAAGUUAGAAGUGAAAUGUACCGGCUCAACCGGUGAUCUGCUUUUAAUACUGCUUUUCUUGAGUAUGGGAGAGGAAGAUGGAAUUCCAGGUGUAGCGGUGGAAUGCGUAGAUAUCUGGAAGAACACCAGUUGCGAAGGCGGUCUUCUGGCCCAAUACUGACGCUGAGGCUCGAAAGCUAGGGGAGCGAACAGGAUUAGAUACCCUGGUAGUCCUAGCCGUAAACGAUGGACACUAGAUGCUGGAGGCAUUAAGCUUUCGGUGUCGAAGCUAACGCAUUAAGUGUCCCGCCUGGGGAGUACGCUCGCAAGGGUGAAACUCAAAGGAAUUGACGGGGGCCCGCACAAGCGGUGGAGCAUGUGCUUUAAUUCGAUGCAACGCGAAGAACCUUACCUGGUCUUGACAUGGGAGUGAAAGCUUUUAGAGAUAAUUGCCCUUCCUUCGGGAACUCUCCACACAGGUGCUGCAUGGUUGUCGUCAGCUCGUGUCGUGAGAUGUUGGGUUAAGUCCCGCAACGAGCGCAACCCCUGUCCUUAGUUGCCAUCAGGUCAAGCUGGGAACUCUAAGGAGACUGCCUGGGUUAACCAGGAGGAAGGUGGGGAUGACGUCAAAUCCUCAUGGCCCUUACGACCAGGGCUAGACACGUGCUACAAUGGGCGGUACAACGGGAUGCUAAGUCGCGAGGCCACGCUAAUCCCUUAAAACCGUUCUCAGUUCGGAUUGGAGUCUGCAAUUCGACUCCAUGAAGUUGGAAUCGCUAGUAAUCGCGGAUCAGCAUGCCGCGGUGAAUACGUUCCCGGGCCUUGUACACACCGCCCGUCAAGCCAUGAAAGAUGGUAGUACCCGAAGUCGUUAUCCUAACCUUUUGGAGGGAGGCGCCGAAGGUUAGAUCAUUGAUUGGGGCUAAGUCGAAACAAGGUA
RNAcentral lists this ribosomal RNA (1210 nucleotides) under metagenome. Its description in RNAcentral is "bacterial SSU rRNA". It matches the Rfam family "Bacterial small subunit ribosomal RNA", at positions 301 to 1498 of the family's 1533-position model. The record is from RNAcentral.